GUAUGAUCGGUAGUUUCAUACAAAUGAAACUACCGAACCAUCAGACCACCCCCGUGAGAAGUGUGCGCCUCGUUAAGCGUUCACACUCUGCAAACCGCAGCUUAAUUGAUACAUUGCAUGUGCCUGUGUGGUCGCCGUUCGGCAUACGAACCACGUGCGGCGGCCAUCUUACGCAUGAAAAUCUCAGCGGUAUUUGGCUGUCGAGUGUCUGGAACUCAAAUCGGACACAAACAACCGAACACCGCUGAGACCUCCAG
Molecule: non-coding RNA, 257 nt
Organism: Pelobates cultripes (western spadefoot toad)
Lineage: Eukaryota; Metazoa; Chordata; Amphibia; Anura; Pelobatidae
Source: the annotation of a GenBank genome assembly